Molecule: long non-coding RNA, 1929 nt
Filed under: Homo sapiens (human)
Lineage: Eukaryota; Metazoa; Chordata; Mammalia; Primates; Hominidae
Description: HSALNT0183596
Source: RNAcentral
CUGAGAUGUCAUGUUGAAACAGAGCAGAGCCUCAUUCCUCUCCCUGCACCACCCUCACCCACAGGAGCCAGAGGGGGCUUGCCAGGAAGUGCAUCUCAUCAUUUCACUCCCAAAUUUAAACCCUCAGGACCUCUGCAUGUCUGCAUAUUUGAGGCCACAAGUCUUAGUAGGGUCCUGGGUGCCUCAGCCCCAGCCACCUGUCUCCCCAGCCUGCUUCCUCACUAGCCAGCCUCUCUGUUCUGUUCCCUUCAUGGAAUCACUUACCAACCGCAGCAGGCCCAUGCCCUUCCAUGCCCUUUAUCAGACAACAGCUCUCCUCUCCCAAUCCCCUUGUCUCCUGGGCAACUUCCAAUCGAUCUUAAACUCUUGUCCUCAGACAUGAAUUCUUCCAGAAAGCCCUGCCUGAUUCCCCGGGCUGGGCCCUGACCCACCUCCCAUGGCAACUUCUCAGAGCUGUCAAGCUGCAGGGCAGCUCCACGGUGGGCUUAGCGUUCAGUGGGCCAGGCUGCUGGGCCAGGCCAUGAUGUGUCAGCGCAGGCUGGUGACAGGCAGAGAUGGUCCUUCAGGAGAAACCUGCCCCUCCACUCUUUACAGCACGGAGGGCACAUUGGGUAGAGAUGAAUUUGAGGCCUUUCGAGGGUUGGCUUCCAUCAGGCUGCUAGCACAGAAAAAUAUAUACCAGUAGCUUAAAAUGAAAGAUCAAGAAAUAAGGUGUUAGCCAAAGUGACUUCUGGCAAGAAAGGUUAGUACUUUGGGAAUAAAGUUUCCUCCCUUUACUUGGGCCUGUGGGUCCUUCUUUUCACUGAGGUCUAAUAGGGUUGGGCUCCCUCUGGGCAAGUCCUAGAACCUGGGAGAGAGACAGAGAGACAAGUCUCCCCACCCCCACAUCCCCAAAGGAGUAACAAGCUCCAGAGAAAGAGGAGGGAGGGAGCCAUAGACCAUUAUGUGUGAUUUCCAUUUUCCCAUCCCUCAUUCUCUCCGUAAGUUCUUUCGCAUUGUCACCAGAUAAUUCAGCCAGCCCUUGGACAUGGGGGUGGGAGGUCUUAGACUGGAAAACCUUGAGCUGAUAAUGAUUAGGGACUCUGAUCAGUGUCCAUCACCACAUUUGCUUGAUUUUGAGGACUAGAUUGGGAAGGGUUGGAAACGGAGGCUGCACAGACGAUUGUGCAGAAGGGACGCUGGCAUGGGGCAUCCAGGGGGUUUGUUCCUUGGAGGGAGAUGGCAUAAGCUCCCAGCCUCCUCUUGCAGGCAGCAGGCAGCAGGCAAAUAUUCAUCCGCUCUUGGUGGUCCUUGUGGCUGGAAGCCAGUCUUCCAUCAGCACUGGCGUCGCUUCUGAGCAUCCUUUCUGCUUUUGUGGGCGCAUAGCUCCGAGCGAGUGUAUGCAUGAUGUGUGCUGCAAUGGGUCCAUGCAUAUAUAUGGAUGAAGAACAUAGAGAAGAAAACGUGUUGUUUUCUUUCUUCUCUCUCAAGUGUUUGCCCUCAUUUUGUGUGGAAGGGAGCGUCAAUUGGAGGAUGCCUGGCUCACAAUGGUGUGGAGCUUCCCGGGGCCAAACUGAGUGUGUGUGGAGAAGGAAGGGCAGGGAGGGGCUCAAACGCAAUCUGCAGAGCGGACUCCUAAUCAGAGCAGCCCAUUCCACAGGCUGACUGGGAAACGUGAACACCAACCCUCAGCGCUGCCUGGGAACACUUGCUGAGAAUACACACCAGCUCCGUGGUCAGUUAAUGGUGCUCUUCGGGCUCGGGCCACAGUACAGCGAAGGAAUGCAGCCAGGAAAUGACAAGGGUGGCGGCUGGGGCAGACCAAAAAGCACAGAGAAGGGGUGAGCCUCACAAGUUGUCAGGCUUCCUGAUUUAUUUUGUGGAAAAUAAAAUUCACUAAAAAAAUACAAUAAAGGGGAAAAUAAACAGAUUAAAGCCAGAAUGAGCCAG